Molecule: ribosomal RNA, 368 nt
Filed under: uncultured organism
Description: bacterial LSU rRNA
Rfam family: Bacterial large subunit ribosomal RNA
Source: RNAcentral
CUUUACUGUAGCCUGGUAUUGGGUUCGGGCUUUGACUGCGCAGGAUAGGUGGGAGACUGAGAAGUGUGCCUUGUGGGGCACAUGGAGUCAACGGUGAGAUACCACUCUGUCAGAGCUAGAAUUCUAACCUUCACCCGUAAUCCGGGGAAGGAACCGUAUCAGGUGGGCAGUUUGACUGGGGCGGUCGCCUCCUAAAAGGUAACGGAGGCGCGCAAAGGUGUUCUCAGGCUGGUUGGAAAUCAGCCGUAGAGUGUAAAGGCAGAAGAACGCUUGACUGUGAGAGUGACAACUCAAGCAGGGUGGAAACACGGCCUUAGUGAUCCGACGGUAUGCGCAUGGAAGUGGCGUAGCUCAACGGAUAAAAGUUA